Molecule: small nucleolar RNA, 143 nt
Rfam family: Small nucleolar RNA Z247
About the family: Z247 is a member of the C/D class of snoRNA which contain the C (UGAUGA) and D (CUGA) box motifs.
Source: Rfam
GCACUAAGCAGUGAUGAUUUGAUUUUACAUGUACUCUCUGGUCUAGGUCCUGAUUAUAAUUCUGUUGCUACUUACAUUACUGGACCAGUAGGAACUGGAAAAAUGAAUGUUUAUGAGGCUUAUGCUAUGCUGUUAACUCAAGA